This 505-nucleotide ribosomal RNA is filed under the name uncultured bacterium. Its description in RNAcentral is "partial 16S ribosomal RNA". It matches the Rfam family "Bacterial small subunit ribosomal RNA", at positions 28 to 507 of the family's 1533-position model. The record is from RNAcentral.
GACGAACGCUGGCGGCGUGCCUAAUACAUGCAAGUAGAACGCACAGUUUAUACCGUAGCUUGCUACACCAUAGACUGUGAGUUGCGAACGGGUGAGUAACGCGUAGGUAACCUGCCUGGUAGCGGGGGAUAACUAUUGGAAACGAUAGCUAAUACCGCAUAAUAUUAAUUAUUGCAUGAUAAUUAAUUGAAAGGUGCAAUUGCACCACUACCAGAUGGACCUGCGUUGUAUUAGCUAGUAGGUGAGGUAACGGCUCACCUAGGCGACGAUACAUAGCCGACCUGAGAGGGUGAUCGGCCACACUGGGACUGAGACACGGCCCAGACUCCUACGGGAGGCAGCAGGAGGGAAUCUUCGGCAAUGGACGAAAGUCUGACCGAGCAACGCCGCGUGAGUGAAGAAGGGUGUCGGAUCGUAAAGCUCUGUUGUAAGAGAAGAACGGGUGUGAGAGUGGAAAGUUCACACUGUGACGGUAUCUUACCAGAAAGGGACGGCUAACUACGUG